UCUGANGUUAAAGGCUGUGGCUUAACCAUAGUAUGCUUUGGAAACUGUUUAACUUGAGUGCAGAAGGGGAGAGUGGAAUUCCAUGUGUAGCGGUGAAAUGCGUAGAUAUAUGGAGGAACACCGGUGGCGAAAGCGGCUCUCUGGUCUGUAACUGACGCUGAGGCUCGAAAGCGUGGGGAGCAANCAGGAUUAGAUACCCUGGUAGUCCACGCCGUAACCGAUGAGUGCUAGGUGUUAGGCCCUUUCCGGGGCUUAGUGCCGCAGCUAACGCAUUAAGCACUCCGCCUGGGGAGUACGACCGCAAGGUUGAAACUCAAAGGAAUUGACGGGGGCCCGCACAAGCGGUGGAGCAUGUGGUUUAAUUCGAAGCAACGCGAAGAACCUUACCAGGUCUUGACAUCCCUCUGACCGCUCUAGAGAUAGAGUUUUCCUUCGGGACAGAGGUGACAGGUGGUGCAUGGUUGUCGUCAGCUCGUGUCGUGAGAUGUUGGGUNNNNNNNNNNNNNCGAGCGCAACCCCUAUUGUUAGUUGCCAUCAUUGAGUUGGGCACUCUAGCGAGACUGCCGGUAAUAAACCGGAGGAAGGUGGGGAUGACGUCAAAUCAUCAUGCCCCUUAUGACCUGGGCUACACACGUGCUACAAUGGCUGGUACAACGAGUCGCAAGCCGGUGACGGCAAGCUAAUCUCUGAAAGCCAGUCUCAGUUCGGAUUGUAGGCUGCAACUCGCCUACAUGAAGUCGGAAUCGCUAGUAAUCGCGGAUCAGCACGCCGCGGUGAAUACGUUCCCGGGCCU
Molecule: ribosomal RNA, 793 nt
Filed under: uncultured bacterium
Lineage: Bacteria
Description: bacterial SSU rRNA
Rfam family: Bacterial small subunit ribosomal RNA
Source: RNAcentral